Molecule: long non-coding RNA, 881 nt
Organism: Bubalus bubalis (water buffalo)
Lineage: Eukaryota; Metazoa; Chordata; Mammalia; Artiodactyla; Bovidae
Exons: 3
Source: RefSeq, a predicted model, not a curated record
AUACACCUGGGGGAGACGCAGACCGCCUGACCCGAAGCCUCAGCACCUGGAGCCUUAGACGGCUGAUGGGAGCAUGAGCCCAGAGAGCGGAGGGCCCAGGCCAGGGGCGAGUGGGAUGGGUGGGGCUUUUUAAACCUCGACAGACCCUGGAUCCAACCAAAGAGGAGGGCUGUGGACAGAGUACUCCCCCACCCAGCAGACCUUUGCUGCUGCCUAACUCAGGUUGAGGGUGGCUGCGGGGCUUUCUAGAGCUGUGAUGCCUGAAGUGAACUUUAGGAAACAAAGUGACUGGGGCAAAGAAAGAAGGCUAAGGACUAUAGCGCAGUCAUAAAGGAAACCAUGCCAUUUUCAACAACAUGGGUGGCAAAGAGCAUUAUGUUAAGUGAGCAGGCGCCUGCACUGUGAGAGCCCCAACCAAGUGGACCUCCUCUGCAGACGCCACUGCAGGCCAUGCCCCACCCCAGCCACCACCCCACCCGGCCACGGCACGGAGAGGCGCACAUACCACGCGAUGACCAGCUGGAUGAAGUGCAGCAGCUUCUUCUCGCCCUUACAGAUUCACGUCGAGCAGAGCCUCAGCAUGUGGCAAUCACCUUUGCAGAUGCAAUUGGUAACGGAGAGGCCACACUGCAGAAGGGUGGGCCCCGUAUCCAAUGACCGUGUCCCUGUGGCACGGCAGAGACCCACACACGGAGGAGCGAUGGAGGCAGAGGUGCGGUGAGGCAGCUACAAGCCGAGGACCGCCAGCUGCCGCCAGAAGUCUAGAGGAAGGAUAAGAUGGCACCUCCCUCAGGGCCUCCCAGAACUAACCCUGCCGACACCUUGAUUUUGGAUUUCCAGCCUCCAGAACUCUGAGAGAAUAAAUUUGUUGCUUUAAGCCA